Molecule: non-coding RNA, 144 nt
Filed under: Tetraselmis sp. GSL018
Lineage: Eukaryota; Viridiplantae; Chlorophyta; Chlorodendrophyceae; Chlorodendrales; Chlorodendraceae
Source: RNAcentral
CACAUGACAACCGCAAUCGGCGGCGCGGACAUGCCCGUCGUCAUCACCGUCCUCAACUCGUACUCUGGGUGGGCGCUCUGCGCCGAGGGAUUCGUCCUCUCCAACCCCCUCCUCACGAUUGUCGGGGCCCUCAUCGGGUCCAGC